Molecule: ribosomal RNA, 507 nt
Filed under: uncultured bacterium
Lineage: Bacteria
Description: partial 16S ribosomal RNA
Rfam family: Bacterial small subunit ribosomal RNA
Source: RNAcentral
GACGAACGCUGGCGGCGUGCCUAAUACAUGCAAGUCGAACGCAUUUUCUUUCACCGUAGCUUGCUACACCGAAAGAAAAUGAGUGGCGAACGGGUGAGUAACACGUGGGUAACCUGCCCAUCAGCGGGGGAUAACACUUGGAAACAGGUGCUAAUACCGCAUAAUUCCAUUUACCGCAUGGUAGAUGGAUGAAAGGCGCUUUUGCGUCACUGAUGGAUGGACCCGCGGUGCAUUAGCUAGUUGGUGGGGUAACGGCCUACCAAGGCUGCGAUGCAUAGCCGACCGGCGAGGGGGAUCGGCCACACUGGGACUGAGACACGGCCCAGACUCCUACGGGAGGCAGCAGUAGGGAAUCUUCGGCAAUGGACACAAGUCUGACCGAGCAACGCCGCGUGAGUGAAGAAGGUUUUCGGAUCGUAAAACUCGGUUGUUAGAGAAGAACAAGGAUGAGAGUGGAAAGUUCAUCCCUUGACGGUAUCUAACCAGAAAGCCACGGCUAACUACGUG